CUCACUCACUCACUCACUCUCUCUCUCUCUCUCUCUCUCUCUCUCUCUCUCUCUCUCUCUCACACACACACACACACACACACACACACUUGUCCUCUGAUCCUCGCUCUGCUGAAGAAUGCGCUGAAAGACGGGGAAGAGCCGAAAGUCUGCCACCACUUUCAUAUGAAAUUUAAAGGGGACUGAGGAGAUCACCAAUUUGUGUAGAGUUUAUGGAGAAUCGCAGAAUUUUAGGGGGGCUGAGUAGAAAUGUUAGGGGGCUAAAGCCCCACUAAAAAUGCCCUGGCGACGCCCAUGCUCGUUCAUGGACACGUUUUGUUGUUCUGAGGUUACACCACAAGCAGGGGCGGACUUAACCAAUAAGCGAGUGGAUCAGACCCAUGAACUCAUGUUCUGCCUAGAAGAACUGACCUCUAGCACAGGUUUCCCCAUCUCUCUGGUGGAGGAAACUCAUCCAGCUCACCCACUCCACAGUACUGUCUCUCACCAAGGAGGAACAUCAGCUUAUAGCGCAGACGCACCUUAUCCUGAAAUACACACACACACACACACACACACA
Long non-coding RNA from Hemibagrus wyckioides, 559 nucleotides. RefSeq lists it as uncharacterized. Lineage: Eukaryota; Metazoa; Chordata; Actinopteri; Siluriformes; Bagridae. The transcript is spliced from 3 exons. The record is from RefSeq and is a predicted model, not a curated record.